This is a long non-coding RNA of Felis catus (domestic cat), 2340 nucleotides long. RefSeq lists it as uncharacterized. The record is from RefSeq and is a predicted model, not a curated record. The transcript has 6 exons. NCBI's taxonomy places the organism in Eukaryota, Metazoa, Chordata, Mammalia, Carnivora, Felidae.
ACAUUUCUCCAUUACAGUCAGAGAAUGUCGGGACGGAAGACAGGCUGGAGAGAUGCAGCGUGAUAGUCUUUGAAGAAAGUGGAAGGGGGCCGUGAGCCAAGAAAUGUGGGGACCUCUAGAAGCUGGGAAAGCAGCCUGUGCUAAGACAGUGACCAAGGAGAGAGGCUUCAGAGAAAACCAAACCCGCUGACACCUUGAUCUUGAACUUCUCGCUUCUAGAACUGUGAGAAGAUACAAUUCUAUUGUUUGAGCACCCCAGUGUUUGAACUCCAGCUGGAUGAACUGUGGGGCAUGUGCCCUGACCUCAUGUUCAGCAUCAGGGUCAAAGCAAAGAGAGGUCUGACAAAGAUUCUGUUGUAAGCUCGUUAUGGAAAUGCCACGAUGAUGCUCUAUCAAGCUCAGUGCACGUUGCACCAGCUCCCACCCCUCUCCUUCCCAGUGAGGUCCUGUCUCAAGCUUUACAAAAUGCAAUUCAGAAGGGUGACGAAGGGAGGAAGAAUGAGGGGGAAAUAGAGAGCCCAUAAAUAAAACAAAAUCUGGAACUUAAUAUUUGUUGAAAUCAGCCAAGAAAAUGAGACAUUGGAUUGGCUUGUCUUGAACUUGCUUGCAUUCUCUCCUCCUUGAAGAAAUAUUAAGUUAAAUCAUCUACUUGGAAAGCUUGUAAGAGAAUUUGAAGGAAGAAAAGGCAGCAGGGAUCACAGUUUCUGUUGACCAGAGUCGCUGCCCUAACCCCUACUGGUCAGGUUGGAAGACAAGCCUUAAGGAUGUUACAGGCUGCUCACCCAGUGCCAGAGGCAUGGUUCAUCCCUGUGGCUCCCGCAACUUCUCAGUCUCAACACCAGGGGCUGGAUCCUGCUUCUCUGAAGGUAUUUGUACUCAGAAGAAAGCUGGGAGGAGGGAUCUAUUGAUGCGUAGAAUGCAGGUCUUUUGGUGUAAGGUCAGCUUCUGAGUUAAAAGCAAAUUAGUUACCCCUCCAAAUGUCAUCAAGGCUAGUCGCUAUGUGAUGGCAACUUCCUGUAAGCAGUUGUCUUUGGCCUUCUGUAACUGAAACCACAUCAGCUGGAAGAGAGUUAAUUUGAACUUUAACUAUAUUGAUGACAAAAUUAACCUUUCAGGGAGAUGUGGAAAUUGAAGCUCUGAUACCAGAUUCAGUAUAAAAAUCUCUGUCAUUGAAGACAGCUGGAAUAUUAGCUGAGUAAAGCUUUAGAAGUUACUUCCAUUAUGAUGUAUCAUAGAAGAGUAAAUGAAUUAAGGAGGCGAGUGUCUACUUCAAUAUUAUGCAAUUUUUUAAUGGAGGCUAGGAAAAAGAAACAUUUUUUCAUUUAUCAUAAUUAUGGACAAUAGUGAAGACUAUUGUCCUAAAUGGCUCCAUUGCCCAAUCUCAUCAAGAAUCGUGCUACAGGGGUGCUCUGAGAAACGAUUCUUUAUGUAAGGCACCAGUUGGUCUGGGGUAGCACAAUUUAAAGGCCAAUAAAAACUAGUCUGAUUCUGUGACAUUCUAUCAUCCAGCCACAAGAUAUAUUUUAUCAGAGGCAGCAAAUAAAUAUCAAUAGGAUUUGUUUAAGCUGGCACUGAAACAUAGUUAGCUCAUUUAUCUCUUCAAGUUAUGCCCAGAUCAAAUACGCUGAGUGAAUUAUUAUUGAAUGUGAACUAAAUUAUGGCAUAACAAGGAAGAUCAUAUUUCCCCAAACAUGUAAUCCAUCACUGCACUGUUAGAUACAGUGUACUCCACUUAAAAUAAAUCCAUUCUUCAAGAUCUACUCGUUAAAAAGGACUCCACUUAACAGUAAGUGACAUAUACCAAUGUGGGUGGCGGUAAAGAGGAAGCCCAACCCCUGACUUUUCCCAUGUUUAAAGUCACAUUGCUUAAACAUGUUUAAAAAUAGAAACUUAACCAAGAAGUUACAUUAUUCUUGGUUUAGAUUUCAGUUGCACUUGGAAACAAAUGCAUCAGCAUAGAUUGAAUUUAAACAUGUAGUUUAGAGCAGGGAAAAGGGGGAAAACUGGAUUCAGUGAUAUUUUCAAUAAAAAAUAUGAAAAAAAUCAUAAUUGUCACUAAAAGAUAUAAAGAGAGUCCAUUUUGGUUAAUACAUUCAUGAAUCUCAACACAAUCUUAUGGAAUCCUGGGGUUAUGUGGAAAAGAAUUUAUGAAACUUAAAGCUAGCAACCCCGUUCUAGAAACAUUUCUUAUUCUUUUUUUUCUCUGACAGAAAAUUUCCUUUAAAAUAAACACAAUUGAGAGAUAAGAAACAGUUCUCAAUGAUUAGCUUUUAAUUUAUGACCUUUAAGUUGUAAAAGAAACUUUUGACAGGAACUCUAUUUAGAGUACAGAGAUUCUGU